Molecule: ribosomal RNA, 253 nt
Filed under: uncultured bacterium
Lineage: Bacteria
Description: partial 16S ribosomal RNA
Rfam family: Bacterial small subunit ribosomal RNA
Source: RNAcentral
UACGGAGGGUGCAAGCGUUAUCCGGAUUUACUGGGUUUAAAGGGUGCGUAGGCGGCCUAUUAAGUCAGUGGUGAAAUAUCUCAGCUUAACUGAGAAGGUGCCAAUGAUACUGAUGGGCUUGAGUACAGAUGAGGUAGGCGGAAUUGACGGUGUAGCGGUGAAAUGCUUAGAUAUCGUCAAGAACACCUAUAGCGAAGGCAGCUUACUAGGCUGUAACUGACGCUGAGGCACGAAAGUGUGGGGAUCAAACAGG